UGGAUCGAUGAUGAUUUCUGGUCAUCAGUGUGAGUCGUAUACAAUGAACACGUGUCUGGAACUCUGAGGUCCGA
Small nucleolar RNA from Hippopotamus amphibius kiboko, 74 nucleotides. RefSeq annotates it as small nucleolar RNA SNORD113/SNORD114 family. Lineage: Eukaryota; Metazoa; Chordata; Mammalia; Artiodactyla; Hippopotamidae. The transcript has a single exon. The record is from RefSeq and is a predicted model, not a curated record.